GCCACACUGGGACUGAGACACGGCCCAGACUCCUACGGGAGGCAGCAGUAGGGAAUCUUCCGCAAUGGACGAAAGUCUGACGGAGCAACGCCGCGUGAGUGAUGAAGGUUUUCGGAUCGUAAAGCUCUGUUGUUAGGGAAGAACAAGUGCGAGAGUAACUGCUCGCACCUUGACGGUACCUAACCAGAAAGCCACGGCUAACUACGUGCCAGCAGCCGCGGUAAUACGUAGGUGGCAAGCGUUGUCCGGAAUUAUUGGGCGUAAAGGGCUCGCAGGCGGUUUCUUAAGUCUGAUGUGAAAGCCCCCGGCUCAACCGGGGAGGGUCAUUGGAAACUGGGAAACUUGAGUGCAGAAGAGGAGAGUGGAAUUCCACGUGUAGCGGUGAAAUGCGUAGAGAUGUGGAGGAACACCAGUGGCGAAGGCGACUCUCUGGUCUGUAACUGACGCUGAGGAGCGAAAGCGUGGGGAGCGAACAGGAUUAGAUACCCUGGUAGUCCACGCCGUAAACGAUGAGUGCUAAGUGUUAGGGGGUUUCCGCCCCUUAGUGCUGCAGCUAACGCAUUAAGCACUCCGCCUGGGGAGUACGGUCGCAAGACUGAAACUCAAAGGAAUUGACGGGGGCCCGCACAAGCGGUGGAGCAUGUGGUUUAAUUCGAAGCAACGCGAAGAACCUUACCAGGUCUUGACAUCCUCUGACAACCCUAGAGAUAGGGCUUUCCCUUCGGGGACAGAGUGACAGGUGGUGCAUGGUUGUCGUCAGCUCGUGUCGUGAGAUGUUGGGUUAAGUCCCGCAACGAGCGCAACCCUUGAUCUUAGUUGCCAGCAUUUAGUUGGGCACUCUAAGGUGACUGCCGGUGACAAACCGGAGGAAGGUGGGGAUGAC
Molecule: ribosomal RNA, 883 nt
Filed under: Bacillus pumilus
Lineage: Bacteria; Bacillati; Bacillota; Bacilli; Caryophanales; Bacillaceae
Description: bacterial SSU rRNA
Rfam family: Bacterial small subunit ribosomal RNA
Source: RNAcentral